AUUUCCCUUGCGUUUGGAAGCCCAUCGAGCGGGGGAGCUCCACCCGACCCCUGCGAUUUCCCCGGAGCCGCUCCUCCCCUACCCUUGGGUCCGGGCGUCUCUUCCCCGAGGCGACGCAGAGCGCCGCUCCUCACCUCGCUCGUCUUCUCGCCCCGUCGUUGCGGAUCUCCCCUUCCGCCGUCACCUCGGCUACCACCUCCGCGGCGUGUCCUCGUCGCCUCGGCUGCGACGGCCUCCACCCGACUCUCUGCAGAGGAUUUGGCAGAAGCAACACAUGAUUAGAGAAAAGUGAAGUGGCCUUCGUCAUUAGCAUCUGAGAAAUGUUCAUGAUCUUAGCUAGAUUUUGUUGCUCUUGUCUGACAAUUUUUAUAUACAUGCUCUUACAGUUUGUCCAUUUUUUAUGCUACUGGCAUCUAUGUAAUAUAUUGGUGUGUGAGCUGGAGGACUAUAAUUUAAAUAUUGGUGCAGAUUUUAGCUUUCAGUAGGCAGAUUACGUGUUUAUUUGGAGGUUCAGAAUAUUAGUCAUGUGCAAUUUACAGCUUACAAUGAGAAGCUUAUAAUCAAUAGUAAUAUUAGGUA
This is a long non-coding RNA of Panicum virgatum (switchgrass), 579 nucleotides long. RefSeq lists it as uncharacterized. Lineage: Eukaryota; Viridiplantae; Streptophyta; Magnoliopsida; Poales; Poaceae. The transcript is spliced from 2 exons. The record is from RefSeq and is a predicted model, not a curated record.